UACGUAGGGGGCAAGCGUUGUCCGGAAUCAUUGGGCGUAAAGCGCGUGUAGGCGGUCCGGUAAGUCCGCUGUGAAAGUCGGGGGCUCAACCCUCGGAUGCCGGUGGAUACUGUCGGGCUUGAGUACGGAAGAGGCGAGUGGAAUUCCUGGUGUAGCGGUGAAAUGCGCAGAUAUCAGGAGGAACACCAAUUGCGAAGGCAGCUCGCUGGGACGUUACUGACGCUGAGACGCGAAAGCGUGGGGAGCAAAUGGG
RNAcentral lists this ribosomal RNA (253 nucleotides) under uncultured bacterium. RNAcentral describes it as "partial 16S ribosomal RNA". It matches the Rfam family "Bacterial small subunit ribosomal RNA", at positions 524 to 776 of the family's 1533-position model. The record is from RNAcentral.